Molecule: ribosomal RNA, 302 nt
Filed under: uncultured Pseudoalteromonas sp.
Lineage: Bacteria; Pseudomonadati; Pseudomonadota; Gammaproteobacteria; Alteromonadales; Pseudoalteromonadaceae
Description: bacterial SSU rRNA
Rfam family: Bacterial small subunit ribosomal RNA
Source: RNAcentral
AUUGAACGCUGGCGGCAGGCCUAACACAUGCAAGUCGAGCGGUAACAUUUCUAGCUUGCUAGAAGAUGACGAGCGGCGGACGGGUGAGUAAUGCUUGGGAACAUGCCUUGAGGUGGGGGACAACAGUUGGAAACGACUGCUAAUACCGCAUAAUGUCUACGGACCAAAGGGGGCUUCGGCUCUCGCCUUUAGAUUGGCCCAAGUGGGAUUAGCUAGUUGGUGAGGUAAUGGCUCACCAAGGCAACGAUCCCUAGCUGGUUUGAGAGGAUGAUCAGCCACACUGGAACUGAGACACGGUCCAG